RNAcentral lists this ribosomal RNA (468 nucleotides) under uncultured bacterium. RNAcentral describes it as "partial 16S ribosomal RNA". It matches the Rfam family "Bacterial small subunit ribosomal RNA", at positions 28 to 507 of the family's 1533-position model. The record is from RNAcentral.
GACGAACGCUGGCGGCGUGCUUAACACAUGCAAGUCGAACGGAAAGGCCCUGCUUGUGUGGGGUGCUCGAGUGGCGAACGGGUGAGUAACACGUGAGUAACCUGCCCUUGACUUUGGGAUAACUUCAGGAAACUGGGGCUAAUACCGGAUAGGAGCUCCUGCUGCAUGGUGGGGGUUGGAAAGUUUCGGCGGUUGGGGAUGGACUCGCGGCUUAUCAGCUUGUUGGUGGGGUAGUGGCUUACCAAGGCUUUGACGGGUAGCCGGCCUGAGAGGGUGACCGGCCACAUUGGGACUGAGAGACGGACCAGACUCCUACGGGAGGCAGCAGUGGGGAAUAUUGCACAAUGGGGGGAAGCCUGAUGCAGCAGCGCCGCGUGCGGGAUGACGGCCUUCGGGUUGUAAACCGCUGUCGCCUGUGACGAAGCGUGAGUGACGGUAAUGGGUAAAGAAGCACCGGCUAACUACGUG